Molecule: long non-coding RNA, 599 nt
Organism: Hypanus sabinus (Atlantic stingray)
Lineage: Eukaryota; Metazoa; Chordata; Chondrichthyes; Myliobatiformes; Dasyatidae
Exons: 3
Source: RefSeq, a predicted model, not a curated record
UUGAAAUAUGUAAAAUAAAUAUCAGAAAGAGAAAGCAAGCUGGCAAGAGGGGAGAGAGGGAGAGAAAGAGAGAGAGAUGUAGAGGGACAGAGACAUCGAGAGACAGAAUGGAACAGAGAGAGAGAAAAUGAAACAAUGAGUGAGAAAAAGAUGGUGUGGGAGAAAGGAUUGUGUGUGAGAGUAAGAGAGGGAGCAAGACAAAGAGGGGGACAGUGAAAGACAAUGACAGAAAGCCGCAUACCGUACACGUAUACUGCCAAACGAGACGUUUCUCUGGACCGAAGUGCAGAACCCAGUACAGCACAAAGGAGGAUACAGAAGGACUUGGGGUCCCUGUCGAUAGUUCCUUCAAACUUGCCGCAUAAAUCGAUAGGAUACAAGCAAGAAGAACCCUGUGUGAAGCAGGUGGAGAGUGAGUCGGGACCACGAGGAACAAGGAGCGCCUGGCCAACGUAAAUUCCUCCGCCUGGGUAAUACCUUUGCUAUUCUUUGACUAUCCAGGAGAGUCAGGGAUACUUAGCAGGUGUGCGCACAAGGUAUUUAGUGUAUAAAUUCACGUAUUAGUUAGUUUAAACAAUAAAGGUAAUUGUCAGUAAAUA